RNAcentral lists this long non-coding RNA (394 nucleotides) under Olea europaea (common olive). RNAcentral describes it as "long non-coding RNA (OEUR_LNC011784)". Lineage: Eukaryota; Viridiplantae; Streptophyta; Magnoliopsida; Lamiales; Oleaceae. The record is from RNAcentral.
AUGCAAAAAAUCAGGCAUCUGUUAUAAGAAUAAGAUGAAAAUUAUCUAAACAUUCUUAACAGGGGACAAAAAUAAGGCUCCUACUUCGACCAACAAGAAAUGAAGAAGAAAAUACGUGAACCUGAUAUGAGACAAACAGAGACUUCAAAAUCUAAACUUAACUGGAGUUAACAACAUUUCAAAGAAAAGAUCUAGCUGAAAAGACCUGCCAGAGCUUCACAUCCUUCAAAUCUUGAUGCAUAUUUACAUGAGUGUUUGCCUGUGUUCAGACAAGUAAGAAAAAUAAUGGUCAUUAAAUGCUCAAGGACUAGUGUAGAAACUAAAGCCACCAAAGCUACUUCCACCACCUGCACCAAAGCCUCCACCUUCUCCAAAGCCUCCUCCUGCACCUGCA